GACAGAGGCCUCAAGCGUUUAGCGGAAUCACUGGGCUUAAGCGUGUGUAGGCGGAUCGUUAAGUGUCUUGUGAAAUCCCACGGCUCACCCGUGGAACGGCUGGGCAUACUGGCGAUCGUUGGGCCAACUAGGGGCAACUGGAACAAGCGGUGGAGCGGUGAAAUGCGUAGAUAUCGCGUUGGAACGCCGAAGGUGAAAACAGGUUGCUGGGGUUGUGCCGACGCUGAGACACGAAAGCCCAGGGGAGGCAAACGGG
This 256-nucleotide ribosomal RNA is filed under the name uncultured bacterium. RNAcentral describes it as "partial 16S ribosomal RNA". It matches the Rfam family "Bacterial small subunit ribosomal RNA", at positions 524 to 776 of the family's 1533-position model. The record is from RNAcentral.